RNAcentral lists this long non-coding RNA (287 nucleotides) under Ananas comosus (pineapple). Its description in RNAcentral is "long non-coding RNA (ACOM_LNC040385)". The record is from RNAcentral. Lineage: Eukaryota; Viridiplantae; Streptophyta; Magnoliopsida; Poales; Bromeliaceae.
UAGACCUAAACCGUUGGGUUACUAGUAGCUUUUGCCAUGUUAGAGACAUGAGGAUUGGAUACUUGAGCUUUGACUACGCUUGUUUGCCAUUUGUGCUCAUUCGCACAUGCUUGUGAGGGUCGCUCCCUACAAGCCGGCACUCCGGAGUUAGCCUACGCGACCUAUGUUCGCUCGUGCGGUAUUGAGAAGCCUACGGGGUCGAGUGGAAUAGACACAUUCCAAGAAUAGGGAUGUUGGGCUACCACAAGCACUUAGGCGGCACAAGCUGGACUACCUUUGGUAGGUCC